This 1510-nucleotide long non-coding RNA is filed under the name Phasianus colchicus (ring-necked pheasant). Its description in RNAcentral is "lncRNA (ENSPCLG00000000533.1)". Lineage: Eukaryota; Metazoa; Chordata; Aves; Galliformes; Phasianidae. The record is from RNAcentral.
GAAAGAUAAGAUUAUUGGAAACCCAAGGCAAAACACUCUUGAAAAAUGGCUUUGUACAAUAAACAAGAAAGACAGCCUCACACAGAGGAGAGGCUGUGCACUGAGGAUGACAGCCGUUCCCAUGACAACGCCAAAAACCUUUCACCAUUGGGUAUCAACAGGAGAACAUCUCCCACAGCAAGUGCACGAAGCCAGGAGCCUGCUUAGUCCUCGUCUCAUAAAUCAUCCUGAUGGACAGCCCUGAUCAGCACUGCCAGUUGUGCACGUGCAGCUCGCCUCCCAGGCACCGCCUGCCUUUGGAUGAAAGGAAGACCAAAUAAACUUAAAGUUCCAGAGCUGGCUGUAUGCAAAAGGAAAAUUAAGCUCUGCUAGUGGUACGAGGUUUCCUUCUGUUCUCUAGCUGAGGAAUUGCAAUUUUUAAUGAUGUAAAAACAAGCAAAAAAACAGGACAUCUUAAAACCGUUUAAGAGAACCACUGAAGAAAUCAUGUGAUUUUGCUCAGCUGCAGAGAAAUCUCUCACUGACUCCGGAUGUAGAGACAAGGGCAGCCUGGGAGAAUUUUGCUGUAGUUCAUGCUGAUCCUGUAGUGUUUGGGUUCUGAUUCAACCACUUUCCUUCUGUGUUUGAAAGAUGAGGAAGUUUUUCUCAAGUCCUCUCCAGCCACAACAUUGGUUGCUUGGUGACGGUGUUGAUACUGCAAGUGUAGGUGUAGAGGUGAGAAGGAGAGGGGAUUCUGACCCAGCAAUUAUUCUGUUCUGUAAAUGCCUACUGCAGCUUCAAACCACAAGAAGAAAAAUCAGCAAGAGGAUGAUUUUUUCUUGUACGUUUGUUUGUUUUGUUUCUUUGUCUUAAAUGCUGUUUUCCCCAUUUCAAGCUGGGUGCAAUGCAUUCACUUCUAAAGCUGUUCCAUACGUUCUGUGAGUCACCAUCUUUUAAUAUCCACAUGGAUCUGCAGGGCCUUCAGGCUUCUGCUCAUGGUGCUACAGUUCUCACAUCCCGUGGGGCAUGUCCACAAGUCACCAUGAUAUUAUAGGACCUGGACACACACUCAGGGUGGGAUGUGCUUUGCUGCAUCUUGUAAACAUCAUGGAGAGAUAGUGGAAAGGGAGAAAGCUGGAACCGUGGUGGAAUUUGUGCACAUCUGCUUACAAACAUCACAAUGUUGCCUUUUUUCAUGAGUUCAGGCACAGCAUCUGACCCCACACUCCCUGAAGUAAUAAGUUCCACAACUGGCCCAUGCUGGAAAUAGGGCACAAUUUCCCUUCCAGCAUUCCCUCAUCCUCAGGCUGCGGGGCUGACUCUGUGCUGAGAUCUGUGCAGAGUUCAGCAAGGCUCUGUUUCUGCACACUGGUGUUUUGCUGCUACUGUUCUUGUUUUAUUUGAGGUUUGCCACUGCUGUUCUGUACCAAUAGCUGCAUGUUACUGGGAGGAUGCUGUAGUCAGAUUACAGCUCUAAUGGGCUUUAACCUUCCUCUGCUCCCACACCAAUCCUCAGACUUAUGAACCAGCU